GGAGGGUGCAAGCGUUAUCCGGAUUCACUGGGUUUAAAGGGUGCGUAGGUGGGGCGGUAAGCCCUCUGUGAAAUCUUCAGGCUUAACCUGGAAAAGUCGGAGGGGACUGCUGGGCUAGGGGACGGGAGAGGAGCGCGGAAUUCCCGGUGUAGCGGUGAAAUGCGUAGAGAUCGGGAGGAGGGCCGGUGGCGAAGGCGGCGCUCUGGAACGUUUCUGACGCUGAGGCUCGAAAGCGUGGGGAGCAAACAGGAUUAGAUACCCUGGUAGUCCACGCCUUAAACUAUGAAUACUAAGUGUCGGCGGUUUACCGCCGGUGCCGCAGCUAACGCAUUAAGUAUUCCGCCUGGGAAGUACGGCCGCAAGGUUG
RNAcentral lists this ribosomal RNA (367 nucleotides) under uncultured bacterium. RNAcentral describes it as "bacterial SSU rRNA". It matches the Rfam family "Bacterial small subunit ribosomal RNA", at positions 527 to 896 of the family's 1533-position model. The record is from RNAcentral.